CUGGCAUGAUUGCAGAGGCCCUUGGAUUUCAUAUCUUAGACCAGGCUUAAAUCUACCAGAUCAGCUUUAAACUCUGCUGCUCUGUCUUUGGCCCGCUGAGAGUCCUGCAAAGGCAGCAGAGAGGACGCUCUUUCAUCUGGCAUUUUCCCGAAGAACCAUGAGAUUGCUGCAUGGGGAAUGGAGAUUCUUCUGCUCUUACAGCUCCAGCAAUCAGUGUAUCCCAGAGUGACAUGCACACCAGGCUGAGAUUAAACAUGGAACAAAACGUGGGGAGGCGUGGGCCCCUUUGAAGAUGAAUCCCAUGGGAAAAUGUUGCUUUGCACUGGAGGAAGUCCUGAUCGAUUUAAUGGCCGCAGAGUCAAAGAAAAGCCACAGAAGCAUAAGCCUUCAUCCUCUUCCUGACUGUGGUGGGGGAAGAAGCCAUGAAAUCACCUCUGCAGAGGAGGCUGAAAGA
Long non-coding RNA from Mauremys reevesii (Reeves's turtle), 454 nucleotides. RefSeq lists it as uncharacterized. The record is from RefSeq and is a predicted model, not a curated record. The transcript is spliced from 3 exons. Lineage: Eukaryota; Metazoa; Chordata; Testudines; Geoemydidae.